Molecule: ribosomal RNA, 450 nt
Filed under: uncultured soil bacterium
Lineage: Bacteria
Description: bacterial SSU rRNA
Rfam family: Bacterial small subunit ribosomal RNA
Source: RNAcentral
GCUGGCGGCGUGGAUAAGACAUGCAAGUCGAGCGGGAUUUCUUUCUGUAGCAAUACAGGAAAAAAUCUAGCGGCGAACGGGUGCGUAACACGUGGGCAAUCUGUCUUAAAGUGGGGGAUAGCUCGCCGAAAGCCGAAUUAAUACCGCAUGUGAUCAGAGGCGACAUCGCUUCGAAAUCAAAGGUGGCGCAAGCUACCGCUUUUUGAGGGGCCCGCGGCCUAUCAGCUUGUUGGCGAGGUAACGGCUCACCAAGGCUAUGACGGGUAGCUGGUCUGAGAGGACGACCAGUCACACUGGGACUGAGACACGGCCCAGACACCUACGGGUGGCAGCAGUCGAGAAUUUUUGACAAUGGGGGAAACCCUGAUCGAGCGACACCGCGUGGAGGAUGAAGGUCUUCGGGUUGUAAACUCCUGUCAUUUGGGAACAAGGCGCGCGUAUUAACUGUAC